Molecule: long non-coding RNA, 565 nt
Organism: Brienomyrus brachyistius
Lineage: Eukaryota; Metazoa; Chordata; Actinopteri; Osteoglossiformes; Mormyridae
Exons: 4
Source: RefSeq, a predicted model, not a curated record
GGGGAUCUGAGGCCCCGUUCAGAGGAGAGACACGGACGGGUGCACUGUACUCAGGAUGGCGACCAUGAUGGAGCCAGACACUCGCACCCUGACCACAGCAAAAACAUCCACAUGAAACUACCUGAGUGAGACCAGCACUCCGAGGAGCGUCUCGCCAAGAGACACAAAGCAUCCAAGACAAAGAAGAAUGUCAAGGACAUGUAACGUGACCACUGAGACCAGGAUACAUCUGAGAGGAACUCCAGCAGCAGCCUCGAGGGAUUCAACAAGACGAAGCGAUACGACAUGAACUCCCCAUGCGGAAGCCACUCCAGCCUGAGCGAUAAGGAGCACCAUGGCAGCGACUACAACGAAGAAAACUGCAAGCACUGGCACCAUGAGAGAGAGCAACCAGCACUGAGAACAGCCAAUACAGCCACAGCGGACCACAGCUCCACAUCCACGCAGGACGUGGACUUUCUUCAAAAGAAGUGAAUUUCAGACUGGAAAGUGAUGCUUUAAUCAUAUAAAUCAAAGAAGAAGGCUUAACAUCUUAGCUGCUGUUUAUACACUCGAAUGACAGGAC